ACAGCAGCCGCCGCGGUAAUACGUAGGGUGCGAGCGUUAAUCGGAAUUACUGGGCGUAAAGCGUGCGCAGGCGGUUAUAUAAGACAGAUGUGAAAACCCCGGGCUCAACCUGGGACCUGCAUUUGUGACUGUAUAGCUAGAGCACGGUAGAGGGGGAUGGAAUUCCGCGUGUAGCAGUGGAAUGCGUAGAUAUGCGGAGGAACACCGAUGGCGAAGGCAAUCCCCUGGACCUGUACUGACGCUCAUGCACGAAAGCGUGGGGAGCAAACAGGAUUAGAUACCCCAGUAGUCCCUGUCUCUUAUAC
Molecule: ribosomal RNA, 305 nt
Filed under: uncultured bacterium
Lineage: Bacteria
Description: partial 16S ribosomal RNA
Rfam family: Bacterial small subunit ribosomal RNA
Source: RNAcentral